CCGAGUUUACAACUCCCAAACCCCUGUGAACAUACCUAUACGUUGCCUCGGCGGAUCAGCCCGCGCCCCGUAAAAAGGGACGGCCCGCCCGAGGACCCCUAAACUCUGUUUUUAGGUGGAACUUCUGAGUAAAACAAACAAAUAAAUCA
Molecule: unclassified non-coding RNA, 149 nt
Filed under: soil metagenome
Description: partial internal transcribed spacer 1
Source: RNAcentral